UUCCCUUUCUCUCUAUUGUCGUCUGUUGCCGAGUUCUUCUUCUGUGUGGUUUCAGUUUCCCAUGGAUUGUUGAACAGCCAAAGUCUCUUUCUCUUCCUCUUUCCAUUUUCAUUUCUUAGUAGAUCAUAAAAGAUCCUUAAAACACUAUAAGGCACUUUCUCUAUUUUCAUGCUCGUUAGAUUCGAUAGAGUACAUCGAUUUAUACUAGUAGAUUAAGAGCUGAUGGAGCGUAUCGUCGGCGGCAAGUACAAGCUUGGCCGGAAGAUCGGAAGUGGAUCCUUCGGUGAAAUCUAUCUCGCUACACAUAUCGAUACGUUUGAGAUCGUCGCUGUUAAGAUUGAGAACACUAAAACAAAGCAUCCGCAGUUGCUUUACGAAGCCAAGUUGUACAAUCUUCUUCAAGGAGGCAGUGGUAUUCCCAGCAUAAAAUGGUCAGGUGUUGACGGGGAGGAGAAUAUACUGGUGCUUGAUUUGCUAGGGCCGAGCCUCGAGGACUUGUUUGUGUAUUGUGGGAGGAAGUUCUCGCUGAAGACGGUGUUGAUGUUGGCUGAUCAAAUGAUUACAAGGAUAGAAUACGUGCACUCUAAAGGAUUUCUGCAUAGAGAUAUUAAACCUGAUAACUUCCUAAUGGGUCUUGGGCGGAAAGCAAAUCAGGUUUACAUUAUUGAUUUUGGCCUCGCAAAAAGAUAUCGAGAUGCCACUACCAACCGCCAUAUUCCUUACAGGGAGAAUAAAAACUUGACAGGAACUGCACGUUAUGCCAGUUGCAAUACUCACCUUGGAAUUGAGCAGAGCCGGCGGGAUGAUCUUGAGUCACUUGGCUAUGUUCUAUUAUAUUUUCUGAGAGGAAGCCUUCCUUGGCAGGGACUGAAAGCUGCCACAAAGAAGCAGAAAUAUGACAAAAUAUGUGAAAAGAAAUUAUCAACUCCUAUCGAGGUUUUAUGCAAAUCUCAUCCAGUGGAGUUUGCAUCAUACCUACAUUAUUGUCACUCUCUGACAUUUGAUCAGAGACCUGAUUAUGGAUUCUUGAAGCGCCUGUUCCGAGAUCUUUUUGCCCGUGAAGGAUAUGAAUUUGAUUAUGUGUUUGAUUGGACCAUCAUAAAGUACCAGCAGACGCAAAAGAGUAGAACUCAACCUCGUUUAUCUCCUGUUCCUGGUGCAAGUAGCAGCCAUGUGGUGCCAACAGAUAUGGAGAAUCAUCAAGGAAGCAGUAAUGCUCCCUAUUCCUCUGAUAUCAUUCGAUCUGGCGGUCCUGGUGUACGCAUGCAAUUCAAAACAGCAAUGGGCAAGAACUUGGGCUCUGAUAAUCAUGUUGAUAAAAAUGUUGUAACAGAUGCACACAUCUCAUCCAAUUCAUUUUCACUUGUUGGGACCUCAAAAAGAAAUGCCUCAAAACCAGUUUUGCCCGCUGAAGCUGGAAAUCCCAGUCAGGGACACAGCAGUAAAAUUGGUCCUUCAUCUAGCUGGAUCUCGUCAUUGCAGCGCAUUCAUUCUGCUAAGUGAUUUAAUGUGCUACGGAUCUGGUCAAGAGGAUUCUAGUGAUGCAUCUAUUGGAGGCAGCAAAACCUUUUGGUGACUGGUGUCAUGCUUUCAGCUAUUUAUCUGUUAAGAAGUUUCUGAUGAUGCUUUUAAGGGGCUCCAAUGUGCUUUGUUCUAUUAUAAAAAGCAGCUCAUUAUUUUUUUCACUUAAGGAUCAUAUUAGUUACCCUAUUUUCCUAGCUUUGUAAAGGAUUCUUUUUCUCCUACAGCCAUGCAUGCCUGAUGGAUGAAUAGAAUACAUGGGUGCUCAUCUAGGAAGACAGAUCAUGGAACAAGGUGUUAAAAGGAUACUGAUUUUGGUGCUACUGUUUAUGUGGGUCUAGAACAUUGCAGGUUGUGAACACACGGCUAUGCUGUAUGCUUGAUUCAAGAGAGAUUAGCUAACUAGUUUUGUUCUCAUAUGAAGUAGAAUGUAAGCCUGUGCUGGCUACAUCCAAGAAAACAUGAAAAAAUUCCCAUUUAAGGUGGCUUGUUUGCUUAUGCUGCAAGAUAACAAGUUGGCAAUAUUCUUCCAGUCAUGACUUCAACCAAAGCAGCAUAUCAAAGUUUCUGGUGGGAAGAUGAUUAGUGCAAUGUUCCUUUGUUUAUUUGGUUUAUUUGUUAUACUGGGAAAAUUACUUCCUAUAUGGCAAUAUUCUACAGAGAUUUGUUCUUGGGAGGAAAGCUGUCUCCAGCUUGCCCAGUGCGUUGCAUUGCUUUUUGAUGGUAGGUUUGUCAGGUGAGGGAAAUUAAUGGGCUUCUAUGGAAAGCAUGUUACCCUGGAUUUCAUUAGUUUUAGAUACUUAUAUAGAAUUCUGUUAAUGAGACCUUCUGGCAUGUCAUAUUUUCUGGUUUGAUGGCUAGUCUAGGUUUGGAAUCCUUAGCCGCUGUUGAAAUGAUAUAUAAGUCCAGUUAUUGAGAUCAGAAACUUAUAUUAUGGAUGUAUAGCUCCCUUAUGUCAUUGUAUAGUGUACUUCCAAAGAAAUCUAUUACUCGACCUGUCUGUUUGGAAAAGAUUAGGUGCUUUGUUAUGAAUGUCAUGAUGGUGCAGGUAUGAAUAUCUCAAGCUUGCAAGUUUAUCAGUUCUGACUUCAACCAUUUAUGCAGCCUUGUUAAUGGGAUUGCCCAGGAUUAGAUAAUCCCAUGAUUUUUAUCAGUGGACUAUGUGUUUCUAUGGUAAGCCUCCUUUUGUUUAUUCUCCAUUUGUUUUAUCUAUUCAAGAAUUCCAAGCUAAGCUCCUGUGUGUAUGCAACUACAAUGAGUUUGAAAGUAAAGGACGAGUUUAUUUUUAAGGGAUCCAAGAAAUAUCAGAGGCCUUGAACGGAUGAUAGGCUUUCAGAUUCAGAGCCAUCUAUUUGAUUUGUUAAUGCAACCUGGAUUUAUAUAAUUUUGACCUGCCGGUUCUUGGAAUUGGCUUCUCCACAAUAUUCUAUUGGCUAUGCUAUCAUUAUCAGGUACGUGUCAGUUUGAUCUAUUUGGGAAAGCUGAUAGCCGCAGGAAAUGUGGGUAUGUAUCAGAGAAUUAGAGUCCUCAUGUUUUCAGAAGCUUGCUAUUUGUCGUUAUUAUUGCAUAUGUUCGUUUAAGCUGGAAAUCUUGACCAUGGUGAUGGUUCACCAUGGAUCCUCAGUUUACGAUGGAUUGAAGUCCCAAUUAGCUCUCAAUGGAACAGAGUUGAUGUAAGACUCGAAUGAAUUUAUUGGGAUGUAUGGAUCAGUCAGAGAACACUUUUUCUCCUGCUCAAAA
This is a non-coding RNA of Jatropha curcas, 3261 nucleotides long. The record is from RefSeq and is a predicted model, not a curated record. NCBI's taxonomy places the organism in Eukaryota, Viridiplantae, Streptophyta, Magnoliopsida, Malpighiales, Euphorbiaceae.